UACGUAGGGUGCAAGGGUUGUCCGGAAUUAUUGGGCGUAAAGAGCUCGUAGGCGGUUUGUUGCGUCGGCUGUGAAAUCCCGAGGCUCAACCUCGGGUCUGCAGUCGAUACGAGCAAACUAGAGUGUUGCAGGGGAGACUGGAAUUCCUGGUGUAGCGGUGAAAUGCGCAGAUAUCAGGGGGAACACCGGUGGCGAAGGCGGGUCUCUGGGCCGAUAUCGACGCUGAGGAGCGAAAGCGUGGGGAGCGAACAGG
RNAcentral lists this ribosomal RNA (253 nucleotides) under uncultured bacterium. Its description in RNAcentral is "partial 16S ribosomal RNA". It matches the Rfam family "Bacterial small subunit ribosomal RNA", at positions 524 to 776 of the family's 1533-position model. The record is from RNAcentral.